Pelodiscus sinensis (Chinese soft-shelled turtle) is the source of this 634-nucleotide non-coding RNA. NCBI's taxonomy places the organism in Eukaryota, Metazoa, Chordata, Testudines, Trionychidae. The record is from RefSeq and is a predicted model, not a curated record.
AUGGGAGUGGGAUCUUUUUUACUCUAAAUGAAGAAAAAAACUAGCCUUCUACUGUAAAACAUCCAAUGCAGUAGUAUCUAAUGUUAUUUUCUAUAGCAUUUUGUAUGCCACUGGCUAGAGGCCUUUCCUGAGCUGUUUUAAAACCAUGGCAGAGAGAUAUAAUAAACACAAGCAAUGUGAGAGAGAUAAUAAGAACUAAAGUCUCCAGAAGCUGGGUACUGAACAGCGGUAGGAGAGCCUUGGAAGGAGGCAGCAAGGCCAUAAUUCUGCACUUUCUACAUGCCCUCUGCAGAAUGGGGCCAGCACAGUGGUGGGGAGCGUUCUGUGCCAGCCUAAUAGCGGAGAAGAAACAGAAACAGAAUCCUGCACAUGCAGAAGAGGCCACAUAAAAGCAAGCUACACUAGUCCAGGUUAGAGGAGUGAAGGAUUUCAGGAGCGGUGCAGCUGAGGCUGUGGAGUAUAAGCACAAAGUGCAGAGGUAGCAGCAGGCAGACCUGCCAACUGGGAAGAUGUGGAAGGGGAAGGAGGAGUCCAAAGGAAAUACUACGCCAAGUUAACAUUCAAUGGAGGGAAAUCACAGGAGAGAAGAGGUGGAGAGUGAAGCAGCUCAAAAUUCAAAGUAAAAUUCUGUAAA